RNAcentral lists this long non-coding RNA (831 nucleotides) under Canis lupus familiaris (dog). RNAcentral describes it as "lncRNA (ENSCAFG00000051419.1)". The record is from RNAcentral. Lineage: Eukaryota; Metazoa; Chordata; Mammalia; Carnivora; Canidae.
CCCCAGCUCCGGAGAUCAUGCCCUGAAACUCAGGAGUCCCCGCCCGGAAAAACCAGACAGAGGGCAAGGCGGGCCUGUCUGGCCGCAAAGAGGUCCGUACGUCGUCCUCACGUCUUCCCGGACAUGGGACAUCUGGCUUCCAGUUUAGGUUUACAGAAACAUCACAGAGGUGGUACGGAGCUCCCGUAUGCCCCACACCGACGGCGCGUUUCGGUCUCCCGUCUCCCGUCUCCCACCUCGUGGGCCUUGGUGGCUUCUCUGCGGCGGAAGGCACGGCUGUCCGGGCUGGCCCUGCGACCAGUCCACGGCGAGGGCCUCGUUGCUGAAGAAAACCAUCUGUUUCAUCAGGCUGGCUCUGGAAUGCUGUGCGGCUGGGUCUGAAGCCCCCGGUUGCAGCCCCCCAAAGCCACGCACCCGACUCCAACAAAAGAAGCACAGAAUAGGAACCGCUCGCGGGCUGCCAAAGCCGCCUUUCCCGGGCGGAGCGGGGCAGUGGUCACUUGGCAGGAGUGAAGGUCUCGCUGCCUGGAGUCGUACUUGGAGGAGCACGGAGUUGGUUCGGUUGCUCUGGAGGCCCGUGGAAAUGAACGUGACCUGCGUGUGGAAGGCGCGGCUCCCGGCUGCGUGGGCCGUGGGCUGUGGCCGGGCUGUGGCAGCAGAAGACGGAAAGGGACCGAGUGUCCAGCUCCCAGCUCCAGCCCUCAGGGCCCCCGGUGACAGUUCCUCGGCAUCACUCUGAUCCCGACUGAGUGGGGUGUUCACAUUGUGAAAUGAGCUGCGUGGCUGACCUGAAUGAAUCCUUACCUAGCGAAUUAAAAAAAAAUUUUUUUG